This 188-nucleotide unclassified non-coding RNA is filed under the name uncultured fungus. RNAcentral describes it as "sequence contains ITS1, 5.8S rRNA gene". Lineage: Eukaryota; Fungi. The record is from RNAcentral.
CCGAGUUUACAACUCCCAAACCCCCUGUGAACUUAUACCUUAUACCGUUGCUUCGGCGGGUUUUUCGCCCCGGAACAGGCUUCCCCGUCAGGGGCGCCGGGCCCGGAACCAGGCACCCGCCGGGGGACCCAAACUCUUGUAUUUAUUUACUUAUGGCAUGUCUGAGUGGAAUCAUACACAAUGAAUCA